UUUACAUCACAUUACACACCACCCCUCCUAAAUCCUAAUUCCCAAAUCCAUUCCCUGGAAUCCCUGCGACCUUGUCCUCCAGUCUCCGAACACCGGCGCUUCCUCCCCACCGCCGCGAUCUGCCACACUUUUUCGACUGCUUCGCCGGACCACCUCCCCCAUUUUUCCACCGAGAUAUGCCCCUCUCAUCUCCACACCGGCCCCACAUUUCCCUUCACCGAUCUGCGAUCUGCCUCCCACCAUCGCCGCUUCCUUUCCCCACAACGAUCUGCCCCCUCGCAUCUCUAUACCGGUUCUCCGCGCCGACCACUAGAUAUGCCACCUCCAUUUCCUUCCUCCAGCGAUUCGCCCCAUCGGCCCCAGCCCGUCACCAAGCCACGACCAUGAUUUUUGGUUCUAGGUGCCUGGUCCAGAACCGCCGCUCGCCAGCCGCUGUGUUGCACUCACCCACUCCUAUUCUCACUUCAACUAAAUAUAGAUCCUUCAAAUGAGCUUUGCAAUGGCACAAGGAUGAUAGUCACCAAACUUGGGAAGAUUAAUUACCAGUGUAAUCCUCAAUAAUCCAAUUAUGACAUGACGUUUUUGGCUAUUGUGGGAGCCUCUCUCUAGGUCAACACCCAGUACAACUACGAGAGAUCAACGAGUGGAUGGAUCCCCAUUAAUCUAGACCACGAUCUAUUAGGCCUCAAGCUCAUCGAUGGGUGGGGUCCAAAACAUCAAGGACAAACAAAGACUAAGGUCAUGCCCAAACAUUAAUUGCCAAGAUCCAAGUCUCACGAACUCCGACUAGGGAUUAGGCACGAGACAUAACGCGUGCGGGGUUUCAUAGCUCAUCACUUAUUCAAUUGUUACAUGUACUAAUGUAAUAAUUUAUAUAGUACAUGAUUAAUUAAUGCUAAUUAAUCGAUGUUUAAUAAACAUUAACUAAUCUUUAAUGUUUAUCACUUUAUCCCACGACUCUAUAUUUUAACUAAUUAAUUUUAAUUAAUUAUAUCUAACUCACCAGAAAUCGAUUUUAAAACUAAUCAAAUGUCUUAUUACUCGAAAUAAUUGACCCAACAUUAAUCUUCUCAAAACUAAUUUUCCAACAUAUAGAUUAAAAAUAACUAAAUUGAUUAUUUUAGUUUUUUAUGGUUAUUUUGAAAAUAAGAAAAAUAUUUGAAAAUGUUGAAAAAGUAAGGGUUAAUUGCCCUUAAAUACACCACAUUUCCUUGAAUUCUACAAUUACACAUCACUUUUAAAAUUCGCCCCUAAAUACACCACUUUUUCUUGAAUUCUACAAUUGCAUAUCACCUUUAAAUCCGCCCCAAAAUACAUCACCUUUAUAUUUUUUCUGUUUUUGCACAUGACUAAAAAAUCCUCAAGAAAUAAAUUAAAGUGUUAAUUUAUAAAUUUAAAUAUCUUUUUAGCAGCGGAAAUAUAAUAAAAUAAAUUUUUUUAUUUAUUUUUAUAAAGAAUUUUAUUUUAUUAUAUUUCCGCUUUAAAUUUAUAUUUAACACUUUAGUUAGAUUAGGGUGUUACCACUUUAAAUGACGUGGCUUCCAGAUUGGCAAAACUAUGUCGUUUUGAAUGUUAUGAUCGUAUGUGUUACCAUUUUAUUAACGUGGACAAUAAUUGCAUGUUGCCACACUAAGUAUACUAUG
Molecule: RNA transcript, 1643 nt
Organism: Salvia miltiorrhiza (redroot sage)
Lineage: Eukaryota; Viridiplantae; Streptophyta; Magnoliopsida; Lamiales; Lamiaceae
Exons: 3
Source: RefSeq, a predicted model, not a curated record